CCUGUCCUACGGGGGGCAGCAGUGAGGAAUAUUGGUCAAUGGGCGAGAGCCUGAACCAGCCAAGUCGCGUGAGGGAGUACUGCCCUAUGGGUUGUAAACCUCUUUUGUCGGGGAGCAAAAGCCGGACGUGUCCGGCUGUGAGAGUACCCGAAGAAAAAGCAUCGGCUAACUCCGUGCCAGCAGCCGCGGUAAUACGGAGGAUGCGAGCGUUAUCCGGAUUUAUUGGGUUUAAAGGGUGCGUAGGCGGGCUUUUAAGUCAGCGGUAAAAAUUCGGGGCUCAACCCCGGCCGGCCGUU
This 296-nucleotide ribosomal RNA is filed under the name uncultured bacterium. RNAcentral describes it as "partial 16S ribosomal RNA". It matches the Rfam family "Bacterial small subunit ribosomal RNA", at positions 333 to 628 of the family's 1533-position model. The record is from RNAcentral.